GACGAACGCUGGCGGCGUGCUUAACACAUGCAAGUCGAACGGAAAGGCCUGCUUUCCCUUGUGGAUUGCGGGUACUCGAGUGGCGAACGGGUGAGUAACGCGUGAGUGAUCUGCCCCCAACUUGGGUAUAAGCCUGGGAAACUGGGUCUAAUUCCCGAUAGGACUGCAGGGUGGUGCCUGUGGUGGAAAACGAUUUUCUAGUGGUUGGGGAUGAGCUCGCGGCCUAUCAGCUUGUUGGUGGGGUAAUGGCCUACCAAGGCGGCGACGGGUAGCCGGCCUGGGAGCGUGGACGGCCACACUGAGACUCGGAUCAGGCCCAGACUCGUGCGGGAGGCAGCAGUGGGGAAUAUUGCAGAGUGGGCGGAAGCCUGAUGCAGCGACGCAGCGUGGAGGAUGACGGCCUUCGGGUUGUAAACUACUUGCGACCGAGAGGAAGCCACCUGGUUGGAAGGGUGGUGACGGUAGUGGUAGAAGAAGCACCGGCUAACUACGUG
RNAcentral lists this ribosomal RNA (494 nucleotides) under uncultured bacterium. Its description in RNAcentral is "partial 16S ribosomal RNA". It matches the Rfam family "Bacterial small subunit ribosomal RNA", at positions 28 to 507 of the family's 1533-position model. The record is from RNAcentral.